RNAcentral lists this ribosomal RNA (170 nucleotides) under uncultured bacterium. Its description in RNAcentral is "partial 16S ribosomal RNA". It matches the Rfam family "Bacterial small subunit ribosomal RNA", at positions 338 to 524 of the family's 1533-position model. The record is from RNAcentral.
CCUACGGGAGGCAGCAGUGGGGAAUAUUGGACAAUGGGGGCAACCCUGAUCCAGCAAUGCCGCGUGAGUGAUGAAGGCCUUAGGGUUGUAAAGCUCUUUUACCAGGGAGGAUAAUGACAGUACCUGGAGAAUAAGCUCCGGCUAAAUAAGGUGCCAGCAGCCGCGGUAAU